This 468-nucleotide ribosomal RNA is filed under the name uncultured bacterium. RNAcentral describes it as "partial 16S ribosomal RNA". It matches the Rfam family "Bacterial small subunit ribosomal RNA", at positions 28 to 507 of the family's 1533-position model. The record is from RNAcentral.
GACGAACGCUGGCGGCGUGCUUAACACAUGCAAGUCGAACGGAAAGGCCCUGCUUUUGUGGGGUGCUCGAGUGGCGAACGGGUGAGUAACACGUGAGUAACCUGCCCUUGACUUUGGGAUAACUUCAGGAAACUGGGGCUAAUACCGGAUAGGAGCUCCGGCUGCAUGGUGGGGGUUGGAAAGUUUCGGCGGUUGGGGAUGGACUCGCGGCUUAUCAGCUUGUUGGUGGGGUAGUGGCUUACCAAGGCUUUGCCGGGUAGCCGGCCUGAGAGGGUGACCGGCCACAUUGGGACUGAGAUGCGGCCCAGACUCCUACGGGAGGCAGCAGUGGGGAAUAUUGCACAAUGGGCGGAAGCCUUAUGCAGCAACGCCGCGUGCGGGAUGACGGCCUUCGGGUUGUAAACCGCUUUCGCCUGUGACGAAGCGUGAGUGACGGUAAUGGGUAAAGAAGCACCGGCUAACUACGUG